Molecule: ribosomal RNA, 723 nt
Filed under: uncultured Fusobacterium sp.
Lineage: Bacteria; Fusobacteriati; Fusobacteriota; Fusobacteriia; Fusobacteriales; Fusobacteriaceae
Description: bacterial SSU rRNA
Rfam family: Bacterial small subunit ribosomal RNA
Source: RNAcentral
GAUGAACGCUGACAGAAUGCUUAACACAUGCAAGUCGACUCGAGUCUUCGGACUUGGGUGGCGCACGGGUGAGUAACGCGUAAAGAACUUGCCUCUUAGACCGGGACAACAUCUGGAAACGGAUGCUAAUACCGGAUAUUAUGGUUUUUUCGCAUGGAGGAAUCAUGAAAGCUAGAUGCGCUAAGAGAGAGCUUUGCGUCCCAUUAGCUGGUUGGUGAGGUAACGGCCCACCAAGGCAAUGAUGGGUAGCCGGCCUGAGAGGGUGAACGGCCACAAGGGGACUGAGACACGGCCCUUACUCCUACGGGAGGCAGCAGUGGGGAAUAUUGGACAAUGGACCACAAGUCUGAUCCAGCAAUUCUGUGUGCACGAUGACGUUUUUCGGAAUGUAAAGUGCUUUCAGUCGGGAAGAAGUCAGUGACGGUACCGACAGAAGAAGCGACGGCUAAAUACGUGCCAGCAGCCGCGGUAAUACGUGUGUCGCAAGCGUUAUCCGGAUUUAUUGGGCGUAAAGCGCGUCUAGGCGGCAAGGAAAGUCUGAUGUGAAAAUGCGGAGCUCAACUCCGUAUGGCGUUGGAAACUGCCUUACUAGAGUACUGGAGAGGUAGGCGGAACUACAAGUGUAGAGGUGAAAUUCGUAGAUAUUUGUAGGAAUGCCGAUGGGGAAGCCAGCCUACUGGACAGAUACUGACGCUAAGCGCGAAAGCGUGGGUAGCAAACAGG